RNAcentral lists this ribosomal RNA (392 nucleotides) under uncultured bacterium. RNAcentral's name for it is "bacterial SSU rRNA". It matches the Rfam family "Bacterial small subunit ribosomal RNA", at positions 30 to 416 of the family's 1533-position model. The record is from RNAcentral.
AUUGAACGCUGGCGGCAUGCCUAACACAUGCAAGUCGAACGGCAGCAUGGUCUAGCUUGCUAGACUGAUGGCGAGUGGCGAACGGGUGAGUAACGCGUAGGAAUAUACCUUAUAGAGGGGGAUAACCUGGGGAAACUCAGGCUAAUACCGCAUGUUAUCUAAGGAUUAAAGCUGGGGACCUUAGGGCCUGGCGCUAUAAGAAUAGCCUGCGUCCGAUUAGCUAGUUGGUGGGGUAAAGGCCUACCAAGGCGACGAUCGGUAGCUGGUCUGAGAGGAUGAUCAACCACACUGGGACUGAGACACGGCCCAGACUCCUACGGGAGGCAGCAGUGGGGAAUUUUGGACAAUGGGCGCAAGCCUGAUCCAGCCAUUCCGCGUGCAGGAUGAAGGCC